Molecule: ribosomal RNA, 1346 nt
Filed under: uncultured bacterium
Lineage: Bacteria
Description: partial 16S ribosomal RNA
Rfam family: Bacterial small subunit ribosomal RNA
Source: RNAcentral
GACGAACGCUGGCGGCGUGCUUAACACAUGCAAGUCGAACGGAAAGGCCCUGCUUUUGUGGGGUGCUCGAGUGGCGAACGGGUGAGUAACACGUGAGUAACCUGCCCUUGACUUUGGGAUAACUUCAGGAAACUGGGGCUAAUACCGGAUAGGAGCUCCUGCUGCAUGGUGGGGGUUGGAAAGUUUCGGCGGUUGGGGAUGGACUCGCGGCUUAUCAGCUUGUUGGUGGGGUAGUGGCUUACCAAGGCUUUGACGGGUAGCCGGCCUGAGAGGGUGACCGGCCACAUUGGGACUGAGAUACGGCCCAGACUCCUACGGGAGGCAGCAGUGGGGAAUAUUGCACAAUGGGCGGAAGCCUGAUGCAGCAACGCCGCGUGCGGGAUGACGGCCUUCGGGUUGUAAACCGCUUUCGCCUGUGACGAAGCGUGAGUGACGGUAAUGGGUAAAGAGGCACCGGCUAACUACGUGCCAGCAGCCGCGGUGAUACGUAGGGUGCGAGCGUUGUCCGGAUUUAUUGGGCGUAAAGGGCUCGUAGGUGGUUGAUCGCGUCGGAAGUGUAAUCUUGGGGCUUAACCCUGAGCGUGCUUUCGAUACGGGUUGACUUGAGGAAGGUAGGGGAGAAUGGAAUUCCUGGUGGAGCGGUGGAAUGCGCAGAUAUCAGGAGGAACACCAGUGGCGAAGGCGGUUCUCUGGGCCUUUCCUGACGCUGAGGUGCGAAAGCGUGGGGAGCGAACAGGCUUAGAUACCCUGGUAGUCCACGCUGUAAACGGUGGGUACUAGGUGUGGGGUCCAUUCCACGGGUUCCGUGCCGUAGCUAACGCUUUAAGUACCCCGCCUGGGGAGUACGGCCGCAAGGCUAAAACUCAAAGGAAUUGACGGGGCCCCGCACAAGCGGCGGAGCAUGCGGAUUAAUUCGAUGCAACGCGUAGAACCUUACCUGGGUUUGACAUGGAUCGGGAGUGCUCAGAGAUGGGUGUGCCUCUUUUGGGGUCGGUUCACAGGUGGUGCAUGGCUGUCGUCAGCUCGUGUCGUGAGAUGUUGGGUUAAGUCCCGCAACGAGCGCAACCCUUGUUCACUGUUGCCAGCACGUUAUGGUGGGGACUCAGUGGAGACCGCCGGGGUCAACUCGGAGGAAGGUGGGGAUGACGUCAAGUCAUCAUGCCCCUUAUGUCCAGGGCUUCACGCAUGCUACAAUGGCUGGUACAGAGAGUGGCGAGCCUGUGAGGGUGAGCGAAUCUCGGAAAGCCGGUCUCAGUUCGGAUUGGGGUCUGCAACUCGACCUCAUGAAGUCGGAGUCGCUAGUAAUCGCAGAUCAGCAACGCUGCGGUGAAUACGUUCCCGGGGCU